Molecule: transfer RNA, 87 nt
Filed under: Candidatus Doudnaibacteriota bacterium
Lineage: Bacteria; Candidatus Doudnaibacteriota
Description: Candidatus Doudnabacteria bacterium tRNA-Leu
Rfam family: tRNA
About the family: Transfer RNA (tRNA) molecules are approximately 80 nucleotides in length. Their secondary structure includes four short double-helical elements and three loops (D, anti-codon, and T loops).
Source: RNAcentral
GCCCGAGUGCUGGAACUGGGAUACAGGAUCGACUUAAAAUCGAUUGCCCUUACGGGAUUGAGGGUUCGACUCCCUCCUCGGGCACCA